UUUAGUUAGCCAUUUUGUAACUAAAUUUACGCGUAAUGUAACCAUGGUAAUUGCUUCAAUUUGUAAUCAAAUAUAGUGCCAAAUAUGGUGUCAGAUACAGUGCCAGAUAUUCCGAAGCCGGAGGCCCCACGCAUGGUUAAUAAAGGAAAUAACGAAGGAUUGUCUUCCAUGGAAACAGAGCUGAUCAUUGGAGUAGCGGUUGUCGGUGUCUGCUUCGUGUGCCUUGUAGUUGCGUUCAUUGUCGUAGCCAAGAUCCGUCAUGCCUCUAUACCCAUGCAGUGACACACCCUAACCCUAA
Long non-coding RNA from Patiria miniata (bat star), 298 nucleotides. RefSeq lists it as uncharacterized. The record is from RefSeq and is a predicted model, not a curated record. NCBI's taxonomy places the organism in Eukaryota, Metazoa, Echinodermata, Asteroidea, Valvatida, Asterinidae. The transcript is spliced from 4 exons.